This 579-nucleotide long non-coding RNA is filed under the name Ananas comosus (pineapple). RNAcentral's name for it is "long non-coding RNA (ACOM_LNC007900)". Lineage: Eukaryota; Viridiplantae; Streptophyta; Magnoliopsida; Poales; Bromeliaceae. The record is from RNAcentral.
GCGCUAGGCUGGUAUACUAUCGGUAGUACGGAGGCCUCCGUGCUACCAAGUUGUUUUCAAUUAUGCGGAUUUUCAAAUCGACGAUCGGCUCCGUUAGAUUUGAUCUACACUAUUAAAAAUAUUUGGAAACUAAAUUUCAUAAUUUUUCGACAUCAUUUGGCUAGUAAUCAAAAUGUCUCAAAAUUAAUAAUUUUAAUAGUACAUGUGAUGCAUUUAUGAAUUUAACAGUGUAAAACAAUUCAAAUUUGAUGAAAUUUUUAUAGAAAAUUCUUUUCACUAUUUAGAGUAAGAUCAGUACUUUUGAUUUUAAAUUCAAAUCUUUUAUUAUCAUUUUUUAUGAGAUUUUUAUUUUCAGUCGUUCAUUUUUAGACUAUUCGAUUGAUAGGUAAAUGAUGCCGAAAAAUUAUGAAAUUUAAAUACUUUCAAUAGUGUAGAUCAAAUCUAACGGAGCCGAUCGUCGAAUUAGAAGCUAGAUCAUUGAAAACAACUUGGUAGCUUCCGAUAGUAUACCAACCUAGCGCGCGCUCUCUCUCUCUCUCUAUAUAUAUAUAUAUAUUUUUUUUUUAAAUGAUGUGCUUA